CGACCCCUUCCGUGUCGAAGCUAACGCGUUAAACGCGCCGCCUGGGGAAUACGAUCGCAAGAUUAAAACUCAAAGAAAUUGACGGGGGCCCGCACAAGCGGUGGAGUAUGUGGCUUAAUUCGAUGCAACGCGAAGAACCUUACCUGGGCUUGACAUGCAUCUCUAAACCAGUGAAAACUGGUGAGCCUCGCAAGAGGUAAUUUGCACAGGUGCUGCAUGGCUGUCGUCAGCUCGUGUCGUGAGAUGUUGGGUUAAGUCCCGCAACGAGCGCAACCCUUGUGACCUGUUGCUUCCGGACCUUUCGGUCCGAGCACUCUGGUCAGACUGCCCUGUGAAACGGGGAGGAAGGUGGGGAUGACGUCAAGUCAGCAUGGCCCUUACGCCCAGGGCUGCACACGUACUACAAUGCCCAGCACAGAACGAGCCGAAGCCGCAAGGCAGGGGAAAUCAACAAAACUGGGCCCAGUUCGGAUCGCAGGCUGCAACUCGCCUGCGUGAAGCCGGAAUCGCUAGUAAUGGCGCAUCAGCUACGGCGCCCGUGAAUACUUCCCGGGCCUUGUACACACCGCCCGUCACAUCAUGGAAGUCAGUCGUACCCGAAGCUCGUUAGCCAACCGCAAGGCGGCAGCGCUAUAAGGUAAACUGGUAACUGGGAUG
RNAcentral lists this ribosomal RNA (657 nucleotides) under uncultured soil bacterium. RNAcentral's name for it is "bacterial SSU rRNA". It matches the Rfam family "Bacterial small subunit ribosomal RNA", at positions 832 to 1482 of the family's 1533-position model. The record is from RNAcentral.